This 738-nucleotide ribosomal RNA is filed under the name uncultured bacterium. Its description in RNAcentral is "bacterial SSU rRNA". It matches the Rfam family "Bacterial small subunit ribosomal RNA", at positions 8 to 760 of the family's 1533-position model. The record is from RNAcentral.
AGAGUUUGAUCAUGGCUCAGGACGAACGCUGGCGGCGUGCUUAACACAUGCAAGUCGAACGAUGAUGCCCAGCUUGCUGGGUGGAUUAGUGGCGAACGGGUGAGUAACACGUGAGUAACCUGCCCUUGACUUCGGGAUAACUCCGGGAAACCGGGGCUAAUACCGGAUAUGAGCUACCUUCGCAUGGGGGUGGUUGGAAAGUUUUUCGGUCAGGGAUGGGCUCGCGGCCUAUCAGCUUGUUGGUGGGGUGAUGGCCUACCAAGGCGACGACGGGUAGCCGGCCUGAGAGGGCGACCGGCCACACUGGGACUGAGACACGGCCCAGACUCCUACGGGAGGCAGCAGUGGGGAAUAUUGCACAAUGGGCGAAAGCCUGAUGCAGCGACGCCGCGUGAGGGAUGAAGGCCUUCGGGUUGUAAACCUCUUUCAGCAGGGAAGAAGCGCAAGUGACGGUACCUGCAGAAGAAGCGCCGGCUAACUACGUGCCAGCAGCCGCGGUAAUACGUAGGGCGCAAGCGUUGUCCGGAAUUAUUGGGCGUAAAGAGCUCGUAGGCGGUUUGUCGCGUCUGGUGUGAAAACCCGAGGCUCAACCUCGAGCUUGCAUCGGGUACGGGCAGACUAGAGUGCGGUAGGGGAGACUGGAAUUCCUGGUGUAGCGGUGGAAUGCGCAGAUAUCAGGAGGAACACCGAUGGCGAAGGCAGGUCUCUGGGCCGCAACUGACGCUGAGGAGCGAAAGC